This 252-nucleotide ribosomal RNA is filed under the name uncultured bacterium. RNAcentral's name for it is "partial 16S ribosomal RNA". It matches the Rfam family "Bacterial small subunit ribosomal RNA", at positions 524 to 776 of the family's 1533-position model. The record is from RNAcentral.
UACGGAGGGGGGUAGCGUUAUCCGGAAUUACUGGGCGUAAAGGGUGCGUAGGUGGUUUCUUAAGUCAGAGGUGAAAGGCUACGGCUCAACCGUAGUAAGCCUUUGAAACUGAGAAACUUGAGUGCAGGAGAGGAGAGUAGACUUCCUAGUGUAGCGGUGAAAUGCGUAGAUAUUAGGAGGAAUACCAGUUGCGAAGGCGGCUCUCUGGACUGUAACUGACACUGAGGCACGAAAGCGUGGGGAGCAAACAGG